Molecule: non-coding RNA, 1429 nt
Organism: Camelina sativa (false flax)
Lineage: Eukaryota; Viridiplantae; Streptophyta; Magnoliopsida; Brassicales; Brassicaceae
Source: RefSeq, a predicted model, not a curated record
GAAACGAACAAAAAAGAGUCAAAUCCACACGAUGUCUUAAGAUAUGAUUCUCCAAAAGUUUCUUCAUCUAUCAUUCAUAUAUUAGUGGUGGUUGUUUGAUGAUAAUAUAGCCUCUGCAGCUCUGUGAAAGAUGACAAUGAGAUCAGGUGCGUCCAUCCUAUUCGUCGUUCAGAUCUUUGAAUGUUUUGAAAAAUUAGUACACCAAGUAGCUUUUUUCUCUCGUGUGACUACAGACAAAGAUCAUGUGUUUGAAAACUUGAUAGAGAGUAGCGAAGAGAAUACUGAAGUAAAGAUCCUGGACAACGGGAAAGAAACUGGAUAUGAGUUCUAUGGUUCAAUAAGUGAAGAACGGGUCAAAGAGAACGCUGGAAACAUGUCAGGACACCAUUCUUAUGAAUUCAAGAUUGGCCCUAAGAAUGAGCGCAUACAGGAAAACCGUAAUAGUCUAGAGGACCAUUUGGUUUUCUAUAUGGACAAGAAUGUAAUGGCUCGCAAAUUGCCUGAGACGGUCGUAGUUAGUAACUACGAGGAGGUUACUUUUAACGUUGUCAAGGAUGUAUGCGUCGAUGAGGGUGUGCCUAUGAUGCCUCAUAAGUUCUUAUUCUACGAGAAAGAUUCUGUCAACGUAAAUACGAAACCUUUCGGAUCCAAAUCCUCAGAAGACAGCAAACUCAGUCAAGAAAAUGUGAAUGUGACGGAACAAGAAGUUAAAGAUGAUUGCAAAGUGGCACCGGGGGAUGUGGUAGCAACAUCAAGAAGUGUCUCUAAGGAAGCUUUAACCUUGUGAGAUAUUAUAUCAAUGGAGGGUUCUCAAAGACCAGCCAACAAAAACAACACUCAUGGACCUGAAGAAACAGAACAGGAGAAAACAGAGGAACCAAUAGCAGGGAGCUUGAGAUAUCUUUCCACUGAAAUGGAAGAAUCAGAGAAUCAACGACUAAACGAUGUGUUUGAGGACUCUUAUGAUCACAAUCUCUUCUCAAGAAAUUUACCAAACGGUUUCGGGGAAAGAAGUUUCUCUGAAGCAGAACCAGGUUUAGCUCAUAUAAGUUACUCUGGACUGAUCUCAGUCUCCGGAAACAUCUCUGUUCGAUCUGAUGGAAGCACAGUUAGCGGAAGCUCCUUCGCUUUCCCACUAUUGCAAUCGGAAUGGAACAGCAGUCCUGUAAGAAUGGCGAAACCUGAGAAGACAAAACUUCGAAAGGAGAAAGGAUGGAGACAUUACUCUCUUCUUCUCUGUUGUAGAUUCUGAUGGAGACAUUACUCUGCCUUGAUCUCAAAAUGGUUGUUUUUAACCUUACAGGUUCUACAGAUCGUUCAAAAACACAGAAGAGUGCUUUUUUUGGUUGUUGUUGUUGUUGUUGUUGUUGUUUGGUAUUCUAGUAAAUAAUUAUUUAGUAGUUUCAAUUGCAUCGCUGUGGUUUUAAGA